CCAGACUCCUACGGGAGGCAGCAGUGGGGAAUAUUGGGCAAUGGGCGCAAGCCUGACCCAGCAACGCCGCGUGAAGGAAGAAGGCUUUCGGGUUGUAAACUUCUUUUGUCAGGGACGAAGCAAGUGACGGUACCUGACGAAUAAGCCACGGCUAACUACGUGCCAGCAGCCGCGGUAAUACGUAGGUGGCAAGCGUUAUCCGGAUUUAUUGGGUGUAAAGGGCGUGUAGGCGGGAAUGCAAGUCAGAUGUGAAAACUAGGGGCUCAACCCAUAGCCUGCAUUUGAAACUGUAUUUCUUGAGUGCUGGAGAGGCAAGCGGAAUUCCGUGUGUAGCGGUGAAAUGCGUAGAUAUCAGGAGGAACACCGGCGGCGAAGGCGGCCUGCUGGACCGUGACUGACGUUGAGGCUCGAGAGCGUGGGGAGCAAACAGGAUUAGAUACCCCUGUA
RNAcentral lists this ribosomal RNA (447 nucleotides) under uncultured bacterium. RNAcentral's name for it is "bacterial SSU rRNA". It matches the Rfam family "Bacterial small subunit ribosomal RNA", at positions 331 to 792 of the family's 1533-position model. The record is from RNAcentral.